CCCUUAGAUGUCCGGGGCCGCACGCGCGCUACACUGAAGGAAUCAGCGUGGCUUUCUCCCUGACCCGAAAGGGUUGGGAAACCCGUUGAAUCUCCUUCGUGAUAGGGAUUGGGGCUUGAAAUUGUUCCCCAUGAACGAGGAAUUCCCAGUAAGCGCGAGUCAUAAGCUCGCGUUGAUUACGUCCCUGCCCUUUGUACACACCGCCCGUCGCUCCUACCGAUUGAAUGUUCCGGUGAGCUCUUCGGACUGCGCGGUCUGCAGUUUCUGCGUUCCGUGCGGAAAGUUGCGCAAACCCUAACAUUUAGAGGAAGGAGAAGUCGUAACA
RNAcentral lists this ribosomal RNA (325 nucleotides) under uncultured eukaryote. RNAcentral's name for it is "partial 18S ribosomal RNA". It matches the Rfam family "Eukaryotic small subunit ribosomal RNA", at positions 1470 to 1796 of the family's 1831-position model. The record is from RNAcentral.